RNAcentral lists this unclassified non-coding RNA (329 nucleotides) under soil metagenome. RNAcentral's name for it is "partial contains 5.8S ribosomal RNA, internal transcribed spacer 2, and large subunit ribosomal RNA". The stretch from base 1 to 120 matches the Rfam family "5.8S ribosomal RNA", at positions 35 to 154 of the family's 154-position model. The record is from RNAcentral.
GAUGAAGAACGCAGCGAAAUGCGAAAAGUAAUGUGAAUUGCAGAAUUCAGUGAAUCAUCGAAUCUUUGAACGCACAUUGCGCCCCCUGGUAUUCCGGGGGGCAUGCCUGUCCGAGCGUCAUUACAACCCUCAAGCUCAGCUUGGUAUUGGGCCCCGCCGACCCGGCGGGCCCUAAAGUCAGUGGCGGUGCCGUCCGGCUCCGAGCGUAGUAAUUCUUCUCGCUCUGGAGGUCCGGUCGUGUGCUCGCCAGCAACCCCCAAUUUUUUUCAGGUUGACCUCGGAUCAGGUAGGGAUACCCGCUGAACUUAAGCAUAUCAAUAAGCGGAGGA